GAGCCCAGAGGCUUUAGAUCGGAUCUUGGGGCUGGGAAAGCGGGUGCAGGGGCUGAGAGGAGCAAGUGGGUGCCUGGAUGUCCGAGCCUGACACCAGCUUUUCCCAACCCAGACCCAAAAGGAGAGGCCGCUGGAGGACCCACCCCUUGCAGGGAGGCGGCAGCCACCGCGUUCCGGCUUCCGCACCGCCGCCCCGGGGGUCAGUGCCGCCGCCCGUGAGCCCCUCUCCGGAGUAGCCAACAGCGCCCGCCCGGCCGCCGGCCGCAGGAGAAAGUAAACAACACCCCAGUUUCCUUCUAAGGGAAAUAAACACUAAAGGUAGGAUUCCAAGGAAAUGACUCACGGCGGUUGGCAGGGCUCUGGCGAGCCUGGCCCGGGCCCCGCGCUCUAGCCCGCAGCAGAUGCCUGCCCGGCCCUGCCUCCCUCGCGGGUCAAACCUACUCCGAGCCCGCGGCUGCGGGAGCGCCCUUCGCACCGAGAGGACAGGGACGUUUCUCCCUCCCCGCCUGCCAAGCGUCGCGGCGUCCAGACCAGGCGGCGUCCCUAGCACCGACCCCGUCCCCUAGGAUGAGGGACUACGCGGGGAUCUGAGGUCCCACCAGAGCUGCUGACCCCACCCGCCACUUGAGUCGACUACGUCCGCACGGGCGGCAGCCAGGGCGGCUCUAAAGGCGGCGGCGAUUCCCGCCGGGAUACAAGAGCAGCGGCGCACGGCCAGCCCCGGGAAAAGCCCGCGCCGCCUCCUUCCCGGCCCCCACACCGCCCCCGGUCCCGCGCGCUGCCAGUCCACUCGGUGACCCCGGUGCGGGGCAGCGGCCGGGAGGGCGCGCGGGAGGCCGCGUGAGUGCCAGUCCGCGCUAGCAUUCUUCCUGGGGGGCCGGCCUCCGCCUUCCACCCUCCCUGGCCCUCCCGCCCUGGAGGCCGGCUCCCAGCCCGGCUCUUACCGCGGGGUCAGCGGGGAAGCGGCGGCCGCAGCGCUCGAGCUGCUGCUUGUCCGCUCCGGGGUCGGCGCCAGCCGGGCCGCCGGUACACACGCGCGAGUCCCGGCCCGGCGACCCGAUCGGCGGUGGCCGCUGGGGCGCGGUGGGCGAGGGUCCCAGUAGGUCCCGCCGCCGCGUCUGGGGCGCUGCGCCGCCGUAGCUGCAGACGGUUAUGGUAAUGAGCGGCUCUGUCUAGCGAGGAGCGUGCGAAACCCGUCAAUCCUGUUUGCCAUUUCCCCGUGGAUUUCCGAGGAGAGGUUCUGCAGGAUGCCCCCGGGCAAGCGGAGAUGAGAAACAGAUGUCUUUGCAGGACCAAGCAGUUACUCUCCCCUCCGCGCCCGCCCCCGCCCGUUCCUCUCCUGAGCUACAUAUGUACAAAAAAGCAACCUUGGUCCUGCUGCAACUUGAAUUGGCAACUCUUUCGGGGGGGAGGGGGGCGGGAGCUCCAGGGAAAACCUCCAGGAAAUAAAAAGUAAUAGAGGAGGUUGUCCUUUGUCAAGAGAAAUGUAAUUUAAGCCCCAGAAUCACACUAUUUUGCGAAUAGUUGUUUUUCCCUAUAUUGGGUUCAAUUUGUUUCCUUUUUGAAACAUUAAUUCAUAACUUCUGUCUAGGGACCCCUCCAUAGUCGAGAUGGUUCAUUUCAGGUGUAAUGAACACAGAGGCAUGGAAGGCAUAGACCUAAUAAAAUCGGGGGAAGGCACCUGCACAAAAGUGUUACAAAAACUAUAAUGUUUGUUUACUGCUACUAUGCCAGAUGUGCUAAAUAUAACACUUCUUUAAAACAGUGAUCCUCCGACUGUGAAAAACCAAACCUUUUGCUGCCCCUGGCACCCUAGGAAUCAAGGAGAUGCACAGCCUGAAAAUCAGGGAGGAAAGGAACAAGAUCAAGGAUGAGGAUUAGCAUCUGCAAAUUGAACUCUAUCUAAUUUGCAUGUUUAUUUCUUAGAAUUGUAAUUAAAUUUGUGUAAUAAAUGUUUUCCAUUUCACUUGUACACUUAAAAUUUGGGUGACUACUUCAUUUGCACACUUAAAAUUUGGGUGACUGAUGCAGUUAAGUGAAUUUCUUUUUUUUUUUUAAAGCAAAUGUAGUUUAUUCAAUAAAGCAGCAAACAAAUAUUAAACAUAAUUAGAACUAAUCUGUUUUGAAGGUAUUUUUUUUGAACUUUGUACAUUAAAGACUCAGCGGCUUUAAGGGUAUUAGGAAGCUGAGAGAAUGCAAUUAUGCUAAAAGCAGACUAACCCAUAGAAUUUCAGGAGAAUUAUUUCAAAUAUUCCAAAAGACAUUCCAGUGUUGUGUGUCUGAAAUUGGGAAUUGGGCAUCCAUUUUGGCUUUAUUCUGAGUCACGUUAAACUGCAUUGGCUUAUGCAUGUUGUAGGCCAUU
Molecule: long non-coding RNA, 2362 nt
Organism: Choloepus didactylus (southern two-toed sloth)
Lineage: Eukaryota; Metazoa; Chordata; Mammalia; Pilosa; Megalonychidae
Exons: 4
Source: RefSeq, a predicted model, not a curated record